Ahaetulla prasina is the source of this 843-nucleotide long non-coding RNA. RefSeq lists it as uncharacterized. The transcript has 3 exons. Lineage: Eukaryota; Metazoa; Chordata; Lepidosauria; Squamata; Colubridae. The record is from RefSeq and is a predicted model, not a curated record.
GGUUCACACAACUCUGGACCAACGGAUAAUAAAGAACAUGAGCAGAUGAUGAAGACUGGAAUGGGGCAGUGAAACCACAGCUGUCAUUCAGAUUUUCUAGGAGUGCUAUAGAAAGUGGGAUCAACCUAUAAUUAGACACAUCUUUAGAAGAUGAGAGUCAUCGUACCAUUCCUGCUAUCUUUAUUUUUCACUGUGGGUGUUUCUCACUUCCAUGAUUAUCAAAUUCCACAGGAGAACUAUGAUAAUUAUGCAAAUGCAUAUCUGCACUGGGUAAAAUACUUAUAUCCCAACUUGAUUGGCUCAGUUGAAACACAGCCAUAUUAUUUUGUUCCGUUUUAUUAUUACCCAACAAAACCAGAUGCAGAGGUUCCAGUCGAUGAGGGAAGUGGUGGUGGCCCACCAACAUAUAUUGAACCAAGAAGAAGGAGAAGCAUCCUAUUAAGAAUGAUUAGGAAGUAAUAAUUCGUGAAGAUCAUAUUUACGUGAUGUGGGGAAGGUUAUAAUCAGAGCAUGAAAAUGGCACGGAAAUUAAGGGUUAAUUCAACUUGUGUAGGUCUUCAGCUCUUUGUUUUGUUUAACCACACCCCAUCCUAUCUCCAAUACUGCAAACAAUAUUAAAAGAUAACUCAGAAUAUCCAAAGAAAUGAUGCAAAUCUGAGCCUGAGUUGGAAUGUAAUUAUUCAUUGUUCCUGUUAUAAUCUGCUUUGUGGAAGAUAAGAUGUGCUAAUAUUGUGCUCACUUCUCUUUCUGUUUGUUUUUUUACCACCAUUCAGUAAACCAAAGAUAUUCAGGAUUCAUGAAUGGCUAUUGUUUUCCUGUCUAUGAUAAAUGACUUAUGUAAUC